AUGGAGAUACCGGACGUGGUGCUCGCCGACGUUCUCCUACGCGUGCUCCAACCGCAGCACCUCGCCGCGUGCAGACGCGUAUGCGCCAACUGGCGCCGUGUCAUCGACGGCCACAAGCUGCUUCUCCCGCACCUCCUGCCGGCGGCUCCGCGCGGCAUAUUCAUCAACUACACAGCCAGAGACGGGUGGAGCGACGUCGGCUACUUCUCCCGGGGGAUCCUCGACGGUACCAUCGACACACGUCUCGGCUUUGCGCCGCUGUGGAACGCGGUCAUCGACCAUUGCAACGGCCUGCUGCUGUGCACGUCUGAAGAAACAUGCUUCGUCUACAACCCGGUGACUUGGCGAUCGGCGCAGCUGCGAGCUCCCCCCGGCGCCCAAGGGGCCAACUGGGGAAUCGGCUCCGCUGCCUACCUCGUGUUUGAUCCUGCCGUGUCUCUCCACUUCCAGGUGUUCCUACUCCCUGACCAGCUGCCCGAGAUGCCCGAGCCCCCUGUACCUGUCAAGUCGUCACCACCGCCGUUCAAUGUGGGAAGGCUCUUCAUGGCCGGAGCUGCAGAUGGCGAUUUGUGGCCCGAGGUCGACACCGACGACGACGACGGAGAGGAUUGGUUUAUGGAUUCACAAGAGGAUGAAACACGUCCGCAUUAUCAUUCGAGCGAGCAUUCUGAGGUGAGGGACGCAAUGGGCCUGAUGGAAUGGCCACCGCUGGUAUACGUGGUGCAGGUCUUCUCAUCUGUCACCGGACAGUGGUCGGAGAGGACUUUUGUACGGAAAAGUGACCCAGCAGGGACGGUGGCAGACAUGUGGCCGGAUUCCUCGUCAAUCAUUUUGGAUUGGUCACCUGCCACGGAUUGGUCACCUCGUGCGCAAAGUAAUUGGAGACCUCGCCGAAGAUACACCAUUUAUUGGCAGCAAUUUCUUUACAUCCAAUGCCGUGCUGGUUUCAUCAUGAGAUUCUCAGUUAUGACGGAGGAGUAUCAAGUGAUCCAAUCCCCAAGAAUUGUUAGCCCGUACAACUGGUGGGAAAAACCGAUAACGUAUCUAGGCAAGUCAAAGAAAGGGGUGUACUACACCGCAACCGACUACCUCAAACUCCGAGUAUGGCUAUUGACAGAAGAAACAGAGGCAUCUCGUGGGGCACUGCCGGUGUGGGCGAUGAUUCACAAUGCUGACCUCGAGCCUCCGUUGAGCCAACUCUCGCAUGAAAAUUGUGAAGAGAAGGACAAGUCGUGGAUCUUGGAUCAUGAAAAGGCUGUACAAACAGAACAAGGAUACCGAGAGUGGGACUCGGACAAUGAUGAUAGAUUUGUUUCUAAUGAUGAACAACAUGACGAUGAUGAUGAAAAUGAUGACUAUGCCGAUGGCGACUAUAUGACCAUGAGUUCAUUGGACUUGCUAGGAUACCAUCCUCACAAGGAGAUUAUCCUCUUGGGCAGUCGAGAAGUUGGCAAUGGUUGUGCGUUCGCUUAA
RNAcentral lists this ribosomal RNA (1473 nucleotides) under Triticum aestivum (bread wheat). Its description in RNAcentral is "partial small subunit ribosomal RNA". The record is from RNAcentral. Lineage: Eukaryota; Viridiplantae; Streptophyta; Magnoliopsida; Poales; Poaceae.